UAAAGAAAGCGUAAUAGCUCACUGGUCGAGUCGGCCUGCGCGGAAGAUGUAACGGGGCUAAACCAUGCACCGAAGCUGCGGCAGCGACGCUGAUGCGUUGUUGGGUAGGGGAGCGUUCUGUAAGCCUGUGAAGGUGUGCUGUGAGGCAUGCUGGAGGUAUCAGAAGUGCGAAUGCUGACAUAAGUAACGAUAAAGCGGGUGAAAAGCCCGCUCGCCGGAAGAC
RNAcentral lists this ribosomal RNA (223 nucleotides) under Salmonella enterica subsp. enterica serovar Mbandaka. RNAcentral's name for it is "partial 23S ribosomal RNA". It matches the Rfam family "Bacterial large subunit ribosomal RNA", at positions 1124 to 1345 of the family's 2925-position model. The record is from RNAcentral. Lineage: Bacteria; Pseudomonadati; Pseudomonadota; Gammaproteobacteria; Enterobacterales; Enterobacteriaceae.